AACGUAGGUGGCAAGCGUUGUCCGGAAUUACUGGGUGUAAAGGGAGCGCAGGCGGAGCGGCAAGUUGGAGGUGAAACCCAUGGGCUCAACCCAUGAACUGCCUUCAAAACUGUCGGUCUUGAGUGGUGUAGAGGUAAGCGGAAUUCCCGGUGUAGCGGUGGAAUGCGUAGAUAUCGGGAGGAACACCAGUGGCGAAGGCGGCUUACUGGGCACUAACUGACGCUGAGGCUCGAAAGCAUGGGUAGCAA
This 248-nucleotide ribosomal RNA is filed under the name uncultured Oscillospiraceae bacterium. RNAcentral's name for it is "partial 16S ribosomal RNA". It matches the Rfam family "Bacterial small subunit ribosomal RNA", at positions 524 to 771 of the family's 1533-position model. The record is from RNAcentral. Lineage: Bacteria; Bacillati; Bacillota; Clostridia; Eubacteriales; Oscillospiraceae.